CCUACGGGAGGCUGCAGUGAGGAAUAUUGGUCAAUGGACGAGAGUCUGAACCAGCCAAGUAGCGUGAAGGAUGACUGCCCUAUGGGUUGUAAACUUCUUUUAUAUGGGAAUAAAAUGGUCCACGUGUGGGAUUUUGUAUGUAACAUAUGAAUAAGGAGCGGCUAACUCCGUGCCAGCAGCCGCGGUAAUACGGAGGAUCCGAGCGUUAUCCGGAUUUAUGGGGUUUAACGGGAGCGUAGGGGGAUUGUUAAGGCAGUUGUGAAAGUUUGCGGCUCAACCGUAAAAUUGCAGUUGAAACUGGCAGUCUUGAGUACCGUAGAGGUGGGCGGAAUUCGUGGUGUCGCGGUGAACUGCUUAGAUAUCACGAAGAACUCCGAUUGCGAAGGCAGCUCACUGGACUGCAACUGACACUGAGGCUCGAAAGUGUGGGUAUCAAACCGGAUUAGAUACCCUUGUAGUC
This 460-nucleotide ribosomal RNA is filed under the name uncultured bacterium. RNAcentral describes it as "partial 16S ribosomal RNA". It matches the Rfam family "Bacterial small subunit ribosomal RNA", at positions 338 to 795 of the family's 1533-position model. The record is from RNAcentral.